This 468-nucleotide ribosomal RNA is filed under the name uncultured bacterium. Its description in RNAcentral is "partial 16S ribosomal RNA". It matches the Rfam family "Bacterial small subunit ribosomal RNA", at positions 28 to 507 of the family's 1533-position model. The record is from RNAcentral.
GACGAACGCUGGCGGCGUGCUUAACACAUGCAAGUCGAACGGAAAGGCCCUGCUUUUGUGGGGUGCUCGAGUGGCGAACGGGUGAGUAACACGUGAGUAGCCUGCCCUUGACUUUGGGAUAACUUCAGGAAACUGGGGCUAAUACCGGAUAGGAGCUCCUGCUGCAUGGUGGGGGUUGGAAAGUUUCGGCGGUUGGGGAUGGACUCGCGGCUUAUCAGCUUGUUGGUGGGGUAGUGGCUUACCAAGGCUUUGACGGGUAGCCGGCCUGGGAGGGUGACCGGCCACAUUGGGACUGAGAUACGGCCCAGACUGCUACGGGAGGCAGCAGUGGGGAAUAUUGCACAAUGGGCGGAAGCCUGAUGCAGCAACGCCGCGUGCGGGAUGACGGCCUUCGGGUUGUAAACCGCUUUCGCCUGUGACGAAGCGUGAGUGGCGGUAAUGGGUAAAGAAGCACCGGCUAACUACGUG